UUGCCCAAGGUCACACAGCAGGUAGAUGGCAGAACUGGGAUUUGAAUCCAGAUAGUCUGUGCUCUGAACUCAGUUUACUGCUCUGCUGGGCUUCUUCAACUUCAUGUCCGUGGCUUGUGUGACCCAUCUUUGGCCUCCACACAAGGACCAUGGAUGCGGCCUUACUCUGGGGGCAGCAGGAUGAGGCAGCCAGGAAGCUAGGCUGUCCUCUGCGGUCAGGUCUGGGUUGGGGCUCCCUGGGAAGAGAAGGUGAUGCCAGCUGCUGAGGGGUAAGGACAGGGUGCAGGGCCGGGGGCAAAGAUGGGCUGGGAUCAGGGUCUGAAGCCAGAGGAGGGCAGACCAGAGGGAGGCCGCCCAGCAGUUCCAGCAUCCCCGGGCCUUUGAACCUGUGGACCCAGGUGGUGCUCCCUCUUCAUGCCUGGGGCCAGGCAUGCGGAGCUCAGCGGGAACCAUUCCUCAGGGGAAUCCAGCAGGGCCGCUCUCGGGGUCCAAGUUUCCUGCCACCCACAGCUGGUUCUGAGAGGAAGCCUUCCCUGCCAACCCUUCUUGGUGCUGGGCUCAGAAAAGUGACUUCUAAUCUGGGGUUGGGCCCUUACCUCCUCCUGGAUCCCUCAGAGGUUCUGACUCAAGUCCCCUAGAAGAUGUGAAAAUGGGGACGGCCGAGCUCUUUCCUAGCCCCGAACUUCAGGCAGGGCAGCCCCUCCAGGUGGACCUUGGGAACGCAUGAGGGCAGGGGACAGACCCACCUGGGUUCCCAGCAGCUCCUCCCCCAGAGGCCAGGACACGCUCUGCUACUCAGCCUCCUCUGCGGGGUCUCGGGCUGGGGCCCACACAGGGCCUUCCCGGGCCUGCGAGGGCGUCAGCUGUCUCGGGACUGAGGAACAAUGGCUGGGGUGGGGGUCCCCUCCUCCCUGACGGCUUCUCGCCAAGCUCUCCUGCCACAUGCUCCUCUGCAGACGGACCCUCCUCUGCCAGUGUUUCCCUGCUCAGUCUUCAGCGCCUCCGCUACCCUGACCCCUCCCUGGUGAUCUGAUUCACUCCCGGGGACUCAGGGAACCUACUGUCAAUGAUUCCCAAGCCCACAUCUACAGACCAGCCUUCGCCCUGUGAAUCCAGCUGCCCCAGGCAUCUCUCCCCUGGAAAUCCCGUGUCCGGCAUUGAACCCUCACUCCCCCAAAACCUGCUCUUCCUCAAGUGCCCAGCCAGCCAGUCAGAAACCAGGGUGACUUCGUUGAUUCCCUACUCCCCACGUCCAGCAGCCGAAAGUUCUGCCAACCACCCCUGCCAUCCGCCCCCAUCCCUUCCAGAUGUGACCCUGCCUCUGUCACACCUCUGCAAUCUCUCUGUUCCCUGUACCACACCUUAGUCAUGUCUGGGUCUCUCCCCUGCAAUCCAUCCCCACGCACGGCAUCCCCCUCUUCAGCUUCAUCCCUGGCGCGGGCACCCUGGACCCUACACUGCAACCCUCCUGGACCCCCUGCCUUUUCCUCAAGGCACCCCCCUAUAUUAGUCAGCCAUCACUUUCUUUCUCCACUGGCUCUUUCCUCAAAGGCUAACACUGCAUCCGGUGGACACAUGUGAGUGGCUGCCUGGUUCCCGACGACUUCCCCUUUUCUGGCUGGGACUGACCUGGAACAAACAGAAACGUCACUUGCUGCAUGCCUGAACUCUAUUUGCACGAUGAGCCUAUAGACUAUCAGUUCCCUUUUGGUAGAUUGCUCUUUGAUUCGUGAAUGAAAAAUCCCUUAAACCACAUCACUAUUGAAUGAAAAUAUUGAAAUUGUAUCUGUAAGAAACAUUUAAAGCAAAGAAUAUAUUAGUUUUUAAAUUGGUAUUUUAAUUUUUAUAUAUUCAGGAAAGAACAGAAGUGAUUGAAUAUUGUUCAUUAUACCACUGUGUGCUUAGAAAAGUAAGAAGCAGUCAGUUUCAUAUCAGUGACAGCAUUUAGAGUUAUCAUUGUGUUGGAUAAACCAUAUGUCCUGGAAUUAUUUUAGUAGGUUUCGGUAGUAUUAACUGUAUUUUCCCACGGGUUCAGAUUAUUUCCGGUGAAUCUUUGUCAACGGUUCCUUUUAAAUACAGAUCAAUAAGUUCCAAAAACCUGCCACUUUUUUGAGUCUUCAAUGUAAAAUCCUUAAAAUAAAGGCUGUCUCUUUUUUU
Molecule: long non-coding RNA, 2157 nt
Organism: Aethalodelphis obliquidens (Pacific white-sided dolphin)
Lineage: Eukaryota; Metazoa; Chordata; Mammalia; Artiodactyla; Delphinidae
Exons: 2
Source: RefSeq, a predicted model, not a curated record